This 60-nucleotide transfer RNA is filed under the name Amyrsidea minuta. RNAcentral's name for it is "tRNA-Ser". It matches the Rfam family "tRNA". From Rfam's summary of the family: Transfer RNA (tRNA) molecules are approximately 80 nucleotides in length. Their secondary structure includes four short double-helical elements and three loops (D, anti-codon, and T loops). The record is from RNAcentral. Lineage: Eukaryota; Metazoa; Arthropoda; Insecta; Psocodea; Menoponidae.
AAGUAACUAGUUUAUAAAAACAUUUGUUUUGAAAGCAAAAGAUACAAUUUGUGUUACUUU